Molecule: ribosomal RNA, 428 nt
Filed under: uncultured bacterium
Lineage: Bacteria
Description: partial 16S ribosomal RNA
Rfam family: Bacterial small subunit ribosomal RNA
Source: RNAcentral
GUGGGGAAUAUUGGGCAAUGGGCGAAAGCCUGACCCAGCAACGCCGCGUGAAGGAAGAAGGCCCUCGGGUUGUAAACUUCUUUUAAGAGGGACGAAAGAAAUGACGGUACCUCUUGAAUAAGCCACGGCUAACUACGUGCCAGCAGCCGCGGUAAUACGUAGGUGGCGAGCGUUAUCCGGAUUUACUGGGUGUAAAGGGCGUGUAGGCGGGAGUGCAAGUCAGAUGUGAAAAUUAUGGGCUCAACCCAUAACCUGCAUUUGAAACUGUUCUUCUUGAGUGAUGGAGAGGCAGGCGGAAUUCCGUGUGUAGCGGUGAAAUGCGUAGAUAUACGGAGGAACACCAGUGGCGAAGGCGGCCUGCUGGACAUUAACUGACGCUGAGGCGCGAAAGCGUGGGGAGCAAACAGGAUUAGAUACCCGAGUAGUCC